Molecule: long non-coding RNA, 425 nt
Organism: Mustela lutreola (European mink)
Lineage: Eukaryota; Metazoa; Chordata; Mammalia; Carnivora; Mustelidae
Exons: 3
Source: RefSeq, a predicted model, not a curated record
AGGAAUCUCCCACUUAUCUUAAUGUUAAUACCUUGCUAGAGGGAAAAAAAAAACUUGACUAUGACAAGGCCUCAAGGUCUCUGGUAUCUUGCACUGAAUUUCCAAAGAUGAUUGGACCCCUUCUCUUCCUCUGAAGAAAUGAAGAGUUAGUGAGAACUAUAGGAGCCCUGUGAUUCCAAUUAUCUCAGUCCAUUUUGCAAUGCUGUCAGCAAUUCUUUUACAUCACUCUACCCCUGGGAUUCUCCAAGGUUCGUUGCAACAGUUAUGAAUCUCCUCAAGCCCUUUCACUCACAGCAGAUAAGGAUGCCUCACAUAUUUCAGAGUUGGAGCCACGAAAAGGGCAUAGGAUAAUCCCUGGGACACUGGAGAUACUCAGUAUUUAUUUAGUAGGGGAAAAGAAGAAGAACUGAAUUAUUGAAUACAUG